AAGGAUAUAUUCGGAACAUCUUCGUAGAAGAUGAAGGAAUAACAUUGACAUAUUGUAUUCAGUUUUGAAUGUUUAUAUAACAUUCAACGUGAUGGGCCUAUAGCUCAGCUGGUUAGAGCGCACGCCUGAUAAGCGUGAGGUCGGUGGUUCGAGUCCACUUAGGCCCACCAUUCAUUUAUUUGUACAUUGAAAACUAGAUAAGUAAGUAAAAUAGAUUUUACCAAGCAAAACCGAGUGAAUUAGAGUUUUAAAGCUUGAAUUCAUAAGAAAUAAUCGCUAGUGUUCGAAAGAACACUCACAAGAUUAAUAACGCGUUUCCUGUAGGAUGGAAACAUA
This 336-nucleotide unclassified non-coding RNA is filed under the name Staphylococcus warneri. RNAcentral's name for it is "16S-23S ribosomal RNA intergenic spacer". The stretch from base 94 to 167 matches the Rfam family "tRNA". Lineage: Bacteria; Bacillati; Bacillota; Bacilli; Caryophanales; Staphylococcaceae. RNAcentral also lists the same sequence under 1 other name. The record is from RNAcentral.